AUGUACUAUUGUGGUAUUUUCUUUACAUCGUUCAACUAGCUGUCUAACUUUGAUUGGAAUUUACAGACACUCUAAAUAAGGUCUUGAUGCUUCCGAACUAGUCAAUACCAAACGAUUUAAUUCUGCUAUCUAUCAUCAUAUUGUUGUAAUCGGGACCGGAGAUGGAAUUUUUUAUUGAUAUUUUCAAAGUCUGUUUUAGAAGCAGGCUUAUUCAGCACAUCCGCAAUCUUACCGGUGCUGUGCGUGUAAAAUAAUUGCUUUUUAUAAAGUUAAGACGAACGUUCGUGGAUCUUGGAGGUCAUUUGUUUCAAAAGGACAUUACGGUUUAUGUAUAAGGUCAUUUUAGAUAUUUAUUUUAAAGAGAAUUGUGAUGUUUUAUAGAAGGAAAACGUAAAUUGGCAUUAAUUUGCCAUAACUUACCUAUUUUUAACCAAAUAAAAAGCGCUCGCAAAACAUUUGUAUGCAUUGGACGAGUAGUU
Molecule: long non-coding RNA, 479 nt
Filed under: Mytilus galloprovincialis (Mediterranean mussel)
Lineage: Eukaryota; Metazoa; Mollusca; Bivalvia; Mytilida; Mytilidae
Source: RNAcentral